UACGUAGGGCGCAAGCGUUGUCCGGAAUUAUUGGGCGUAAAGAGCUCGUAGGCGGCUUGUCACGUCGAUUGUGAAAGCCCGAGGCUUAACCUCGGGUCUGCAGUCGAUACGGGCUAGCUAGAGUGUGGUAGGGGAGAUCGGAAUUCCUGGUGUAGCGGUGAAAUGCGCAGAUAUCAGGAGGAACACCAGCGGCGAAGGCGGCGCUCUGGGCCGGAACUGACGCUGAGGAGCGAAAGCGUGGGUAGCAAACAGG
RNAcentral lists this ribosomal RNA (253 nucleotides) under uncultured bacterium. RNAcentral's name for it is "partial 16S ribosomal RNA". It matches the Rfam family "Bacterial small subunit ribosomal RNA", at positions 524 to 776 of the family's 1533-position model. The record is from RNAcentral.